RNAcentral lists this long non-coding RNA (468 nucleotides) under Malus domestica (apple). RNAcentral describes it as "long non-coding RNA (MDOM_LNC012863)". Lineage: Eukaryota; Viridiplantae; Streptophyta; Magnoliopsida; Rosales; Rosaceae. The record is from RNAcentral.
GUGUAGAUCACUGUGAUAUAUUUAUAUACCCAUUUUGAGCUAUAUAUGAGAAGUUAUUAGCUAAUUUUGCCUAUGUGCUUUAAAAUAACGUUCUUAUAGUUAAUUCGCAUAUAGGUGAGACUUAUCCCGAGGACAAGCGUAUCCAAGAAUGACUCGGGGGUUACGACCCUUCGACUUAUCAGUGAGUGGGUUUUUGGUUUUCAAUAUAUAUUUAUAUACUUGAUAUUUUCCCAGAAAUAUGUGUUUAAAUAAUAAUAUGCCAUAAAUUCCAUGCAUAUAAGUUUAUAAUUUAUACAUGAUUGGUAUGUAAUGCUUUAUAUAUAUAUAAAUGUGGUGUUGUGGACGCUCAGGUAAGCUCAGGUAAGUUGUGUUUGGGUAUGUGAAUCAUCGAUGAUGCGUUAUGUGAUUUAAUAAUGUUGAGCUCAUAAAACUGCACUUAGGGUGAUUGUGAUUUAAUCAUAGAUAUGG